CUGUGUAAACCCCCUGAGUUAAUCUAUAACAGGCUCUAAAUCCUUCUCCACGCAACCACACAGAUUAAGAAAAGUAGAUUUAAAAAUGUAAAUAAGUAAAAUGUAAGUAAAUACAUACGACUGACUGAAUGCAUGGAUUCAUCUCUGAAAACAAAUGACAUUUUUAUAAAGAACAGACGCCUGUUGAUUGGUAAAUUGACUCAGCCAAUCAGUGAUUUCACUUUAAUGCAAUGACUUUUCUAGGAUUCCAAGGGGGCUUCUAUGGGUAUAUUUUCAUUUUGCGUUAGUCGAGAAGCUUUUGGAUUCAAAAAACGAAAAAUGAAAUCCUGGCAAGGCCAAGUAUAAAUGCUGCAAAACCGAAUUAUGGUAGAUAAUUUACAUUAAGGUAAUUAUGAUGAUUUUUUUCUCUGUGUUUAUCUUUGAUUUCAUAACUAGUAUACAAAAAGCUUGUUGUAAAGGAGUUAGUUUAUUGUGUUCAGCUGCUCCUUUAGUGUUUCUUUUUUGUACAAACUAAAGUUUGCCCUUAUUCAUUCAUUCAUUCAUUCAUUCAUCUUUUAAGCUGUUUUGUCUCUUUUGGGGUCACGGGGCUGCCGGACAGUUCGCCAGUCUGUCACAGUUUACCUGUAUGUUUUCUUAAAACCGGUAUUGAACUUUGAACUGGAGCUCAAACAUUAUAAUGCAUUUUUUCCUGGAUGUAUUUGACAUUUCUUGCUAAAUAAUUAAGAUAUCAUUUUUUGGAUGCUGGGUUGUGUGAUUUGAACCAUAAGAAAACGUUUUAUAAAGUGGCGCCCUGUCCCAGCAGGAUGCAGUACACAUGAUUAGCCGCAGAUUAGGCAGCACACACAGCUUAGUGCUCUCUUAUUCUGUUGCCAACUCCCAAAUGCACAAGCACAUUUUCUGCAGAGAGUCAUGGCAGCAAAUGAUAUUCAGCCUGCUGCUCCUGCUGAUGUUUGUCCAGAGAGGAAUUUCUCAGUUGCCUGACUGGAAUGCAGAGCUGGAAGUUAGCGGUGAGACAGAAUGGACUCCCCAGCCGGAGGUCACAGGCGACACGUACUGGUCGGGGUCAGCGCCUCUUUGUGUUGGAGGUUGUAAGGCGCGUCACCGGGAAGUGAGGCGAGACCGCUGUGGAAACUCCAACUGCUGCUGGCUUGGCUAUAAGUCUCUGUGCAGAGUUUUCCUCCUCCUCCCUGUGUGCACCAGUGAACUGUGGGAGGCCUGGUGUGGACUAUAACGGAGUGCUGUAUGGUAACGACUGGUGGGUGGGCUCUGUGGUCAGGUACACCUGUCGCUCUGGCUUCAUGCUCAUGGGAAACCCAACCAGCCUGUGCCAGCCUAAUGGUCUCUGGACCCCAAAGCCCAGCUGCCUACGAAUGUGUCAGAGGGGGAGCAUCGAAGUCAGUGAGAGGGAGCUGAAUGGGACGUGUAACUCCACCUGUGCUGAUAAAAGCUACUUCGGCCCACCCAAACUAGGUUGCACUCGGAUUGACAAUUGUAAAAAGAAGGAGAGUGGCUGGAAGCGCUUUUUUGCUCAGUGUGUCCCAUGCAUUUGUGACUGCUCUCUGUCCUGUGGUGAGUAACUUCCAUGAUGAAUCAUGAUCAGAUGCACUCGGUGCUUGGAUGUUCUUCAUUAUUAUAUUAAACAUCUUUUAACCAUCUAUCUGUGAGAAGUUCUGUUUUUUUCCUUUCUAGUGUCUGCUAGGGAAAGCCUGAUGACGCCCCAGAAGAAGAGACGCAGACGGUUUUGACGGCUUCUUCCAGCUGUGAGGACAAAGCAGAAAAACAAAAUCAAAAUACUUUUGAGGAGUCAUUUUAGGACUUUCAGCUCUGCAAAAACUGAAUCUUAAUAAAGUAAAAAGACCACUGUUUAAAAAAAAAAGUCCUAUUUCCUGUUUUGCAAGAAAAAUAGCUUUUUGAAGAAAGUUUUUCAAUAGCAAAAUGAUCUUAGAUUAAAAAAAAACUAGUCUUAGUUACUGAUUUUUUUUUAUUUGUUAAAAAAAGAAUUCAUAGUAGGAUCAUCUUUCUUACGCCGUUGGCAGAUUCUUUUUGCCUAAUUAAAAAACAUUGUUCAAUUUUUUAGAAUGGAGCUGUUAUUUUCCCGUACAGUUAUGUGAAAACACUAAAGGAAAUAUAUCUGUGAAAAUUCUAUCGGGCAGUGGUUGUGUCAGACUUCCCGUCAGCUAUUUUUAGUGACAAAUAUUCGGAAAAUAAAUUAGUACAACUCUUGAAAAAUGUCUUUUUCUCAUUUUCUUGUUGGUUGAAAUACGUUUGGUCACAAAAGAGCUUCACAUCCCGGCUUCUCUCCAGCUCCUCUUUCUCCAUCUGUUUUUAAAGGAGCUGAAACCUUAAUCUUGUUACAAAUGGUAAAUCUGAGCAGCGUUGUUAUCAACAAAUGGUAUUUAUAGACGAGCAAGCCCACUGACCUGCCUGUUAGCACGCCUGAUUUGGCUCUUACAAUAGGCGGGAAACAUAAAUCCCAUUUUUUUUAUUUGAAUCUGCUUUUUGUGGAUGCAGAGUCACAGCAAACCCAAAAGACAGAGAGCAAACAACACAAAGGUUUUCAGUGCAGUUAUUCAAUUGAUUUCUAUUCCAGAUCAAUCCAGAUUGUUUGAGAAUAAUUAAAGAAGAAAGGAAAAAAAAAGAGAAAUUGAAGCAAAUGUGCUGAAAAGGUGUUUUGACACAAUCUUCUAUAGUGAGCUCCUCCAGCUGUGGAGGAGGAGAAACAAGAACCAGGCUCAGUAAAGACGAUCUUUUGUCUUGAACUGCUGCAUCUGAGAAACAGGAAACAGAAAAAUCUCCAGAUUGGAACUCUACUACAAGAGAUUCUAUGUACAAAGAUCCAAACACGCUUCUGAAAAAUAAUUGCUAAUAAUUUACAAUUUAAAACAUAAAUCUUAGAAACCUGAGAAAACAAAAACUGUCAAUGCAGUACAUUAUUCGAUUUAGCGGGAUACUUGAGUUGUAAAGAACCUUAUUUUAUUUAGUUUGGUAAAGAAGAAAAGGUGAUGCUGAAACCACUAUUGAUAGAGCUGCCUCAGUGAAAAUCCAUGAAAACAAAAAUUACAUUUGUUUUUGCACUGCCACAGUUUGUGUAAUAGUUACAGUAAUAGGAAGAGGGCUUUGUUUAAUUUUUUUUAUAACAGAAUUUGUUUUCCGUCUCCAAACUGUGUUUACACUCCACUGAAACCAGCUUUUGCCAGUUUGUUCUUCCGUUUCUAAGGGUUUUUUGUGCAGUCUAUACCUUUGUGGAUUAUGAAUGUUAGUUUUUUUUGUUUUGUUUAGGUGUAAAUAAGAAGAAAAUGGGAUUUGGCAUAAAAUUGUAUUUUUAUAGUUCAUCUGAGUGUGCACCUACCGGUAUAUAUGUUGAAGGAAAUAAAGUCAACAAAUGAACAAGCACUGGCCACACACGUCACUUUGCUGAUUCAGCUUAAAAUAAAACUUUACAAAAGUA
This is a non-coding RNA of Oryzias latipes (Japanese medaka), 3448 nucleotides long. NCBI's taxonomy places the organism in Eukaryota, Metazoa, Chordata, Actinopteri, Beloniformes, Adrianichthyidae. The record is from RefSeq and is a predicted model, not a curated record.